GAUGAACGCUGGCGGCGUGCCUAAUACAUGCAAGUCGAGCGAACGGACGAUAAGCUUUCUUCUCUGAUGUUAGCGGCGGUCGGGUGAGUAACACGUGGAUAACCUUCCUCUAUUUCUGGGAUAACUUCGGGAAACCGGAUCUAAUACCGGAUCAUAUUUUGUACCGCAUGGUUCAAAAGUUAAAUACGGUCUUGCUGUCUCUUAUAGAUGGUUCCGCGCUGCAUUAGCUAGUUGUUAAGGUAACGCCUUACCAAGGCAACGAUGCUUAGCCGACCUGAUAGGGUGAUCGGCCACACGGGAACUGAGACACGGUCCAGACUCCUACGGGAGGAAGCAGUAGGGAAUAUUGCGCAAUGGGCGAAAGCAUGACGGAGCAAAGCCGCGUGAGUGAAGAAGGUCUUCGGAUCGUAAAACACUGUUAUUAGGGAAGAAAAGAAGUGGAAGUAACUGUGCACAUAUUGACGGUAACUAAACAGAAAGCCACGGCUAACUACGUG
This 497-nucleotide ribosomal RNA is filed under the name uncultured bacterium. Its description in RNAcentral is "partial 16S ribosomal RNA". It matches the Rfam family "Bacterial small subunit ribosomal RNA", at positions 28 to 507 of the family's 1533-position model. The record is from RNAcentral.